Molecule: ribosomal RNA, 603 nt
Filed under: Conocybe huijsmanii
Lineage: Eukaryota; Fungi; Basidiomycota; Agaricomycetes; Agaricales; Bolbitiaceae
Description: partial large subunit ribosomal RNA
Rfam family: Eukaryotic large subunit ribosomal RNA
Source: RNAcentral
GGAUUCCCCUAGUAACUGCGAGUGAAGCGGGAAAAGCUCAAAUUUAAAAUCUGGCAGUCUUUGAUUGUCCGAGUUGUAAUCUAGAGAAGUGUUAUCCGCGUUGGACCGUGUACAAGUCUCCUGGAAUGGGGCAUCAUAGAGGGUGAGAAUCCCGUCUUUGACACGGACUACCAGUGCUUUGUGAUGCGCUCUCAAAGAGUCGAGUUGUUUGGGAAUGCAGCUCAAAAUGGGUGGUAAAUUCCAUCUAAAGCUAAAUAUUGGCGAGAGACCGAUAGCGAACAAGUACCGUGAGGGAAAGAUGAAAAGAACUUUGGAAAGAGAGUUAAACAGUACGUGAAAUUGCUGAAAGGGAAACGCUUGAAGUCAGUCGCGUUGGCUGGAAAUCAACCUUGCUUUUGCUGGGCGUACUUUCUAGUCAAUGGGUCAGCAUCAAUUUUGACCAUUGGAAAAAGUGUAGAGGAAUGUGGCAUCUUCGGAUGUGUUAUAGCCUUUGCUCGCAUACAAUGGUUGGGAUUGAGGAAUUCAGCACGCCGCAAGGCCGGGUUUCGACCACGUUCGUGCUUAGGAUGCUGGCAUAAUGGCUUUAAUCGACCCGUCUUGAAA